This is a long non-coding RNA of Notolabrus celidotus (New Zealand spotty), 549 nucleotides long. RefSeq lists it as uncharacterized. The record is from RefSeq and is a predicted model, not a curated record. NCBI's taxonomy places the organism in Eukaryota, Metazoa, Chordata, Actinopteri, Labriformes, Labridae. The transcript has 3 exons.
CCUCACAGAUGUAUUCAGGCUUCUGUAAUCAACCUCAUCUUAAGUUAUUUGCAGAGCAGCAGAUGUCCUUCAGUAUUCCCAGUAUAUUUGCAUAAUUCAGUCACAGUUAUAGUCACAGAAAUAAUGUGGUAAGUGCAGCAGGAGGACUUAACCUCAGAGGAUGUUCAUAUUUGGAUGAAAUCAGAGAUAGCCAAUCUGAGUUUAAGGGAACAGGCAUUUCCAAAAUAAUGCACAGCCUGGCUCUUAUUGGACAAAAAACAAAGACACACAGAAAGUUUUUCCUGCUGAGACCUGAUUGGUGGAUACUGCUCAGGCUACAGACAGAGACCAGAACCCUUCUCAGACCAAAAUCCAGACCCUGCGAUCCAGAUUAAACAUGUUUCUGAAUCAGAAUCUGUAAUUACAGGCUGAUUGGUGAGGAGGCGACUUCAAAGACAACACACCCCGUCACACAUUAGGGAGACGGUUCCCAUGACGACGUGGCUGAACAGCUCACUCCUGACCUUUCGUAGACAUGGUUGCAAUUACAUUAAAUUACACUGCAUCUUA